This 250-nucleotide ribosomal RNA is filed under the name uncultured bacterium. Its description in RNAcentral is "partial 16S ribosomal RNA". It matches the Rfam family "Bacterial small subunit ribosomal RNA", at positions 57 to 305 of the family's 1533-position model. The record is from RNAcentral.
GCAAGUCGAGCGGUAACAUUUCUAGCUUGCUAGAAGAUGACGAGCGGCGGACGGGUGAGUAAUGCUUGGGAAUAUGCCUUAUGGUGGGGGACAACAGUUGGAAACGACUGCUAAUACCGCAUAACGUCUACGGACCAAAGGGGGGGAUCUUUGGACCUCCGGCCAUUAGAUUAGCCCAAGUGAGAUUAGCUAGUGGGUGAGGUAAUGGAUCACCAAGGCGACGAUCUCUAGCUGGUUUGAGAGGAUGAUC